GAUGAACGCUAGCGAUAGGCUUAACACAUGCAAGUCGAGGGGCAGCAAUUCGUAGCAAUACGAAGUUGGCGACCGGCGCACGGGUGAGUAACGCGUAUGCAACCUACCCGCAACAGAAGGAUAAUCCGGCGAAAGUCGGUCUAAUACUUCAUAAUACAGGGACACCGCAUGGUGAUAUUUGUUAAAGAUUAAUUGGUUGCGGAUGGGCAUGCGUGCCAUUAGGUAGUUGGUGAGGUAACGGCUCACCAAGCCGACGAUGGUUAGGGGUUCUGAGAGGAAAAUCCCCCACACUGGUACUGAGACACGGACCAGACUCCUACGGGAGGCAGCAGUGAGGAAUAUUGGUCAAUGGGCGAGAGCCUGAACCAGCCAAGUCGCGUGAAGGAAGACGGCCCUAUGGGUUGUAAACUUCUUUUGCAGGGGAAUAAAGAUAUUCACGUGGGAUAGUUGUAUGUACCCUGCGAAUAAGCAUCGGCUAA
Molecule: ribosomal RNA, 479 nt
Filed under: Tannerella sp. oral taxon 808
Lineage: Bacteria; Pseudomonadati; Bacteroidota; Bacteroidia; Bacteroidales; Tannerellaceae
Description: bacterial SSU rRNA
Rfam family: Bacterial small subunit ribosomal RNA
Source: RNAcentral